Molecule: ribosomal RNA, 201 nt
Filed under: uncultured bacterium
Lineage: Bacteria
Description: partial 16S ribosomal RNA
Rfam family: Bacterial small subunit ribosomal RNA
Source: RNAcentral
ACGCUCGACACCUACGGUAGGCAGCAGUUAGGAAUAUUGGGCAAUGGAGGAAACUCUGACCCAGCAACGCCGCGUGAAGGAAGAAGGUUUUCGGAUUGUAAACUUCUGAUCUAGGGGAAGAAGGAAGUGACGGUACCCUAGGAGAAAGCCACGGCUAACUACGCGCCAGCAGCCGCGGUAAUCUGAGCGGGCUGGCAAGGC